GUAGGUGGCAAGCGUUGUCCGGAAUUAUUGGGCGUAAAGCGCGCGCAGGGCGGUUCGUUUAAGUCUGAUGUGAAAGCCCACGGCUCAACCGUGGAGGGUCAUUGGAAACUGGAGAACUUGAGUACAGAAGAGGAAAGCGGAAUUCCACGUGUAGCGGUGAAAUGCGUAGAGAUGUGGAGGAACACCAGUGGCGAAGGCGGCUUUCUGGUCUGUAACUGACGCUGAGGCGCGAAAGCGGGGGGAGCAAACAGGAUUAGAUACCCUGGUAGUCCACGCCGUAAACGAUGAGUGCUAAGUGUUAGGGGGUUUCCGCCCCUUAGUGCUGCAGCUAACGCAUUAAGCACCCCGCCUGGGGAGUACGGCCGCAAGGCUG
RNAcentral lists this ribosomal RNA (373 nucleotides) under uncultured organism. RNAcentral describes it as "partial 16S ribosomal RNA". It matches the Rfam family "Bacterial small subunit ribosomal RNA", at positions 527 to 896 of the family's 1533-position model. The record is from RNAcentral.